RNAcentral lists this ribosomal RNA (32 nucleotides) under Gongora sp. SRR-2011. RNAcentral describes it as "partial 26S ribosomal RNA". The record is from RNAcentral. Lineage: Eukaryota; Viridiplantae; Streptophyta; Magnoliopsida; Asparagales; Orchidaceae.
GUGACCCCAGGAUGGGCGAGGCCACCCGCCGA